CCAAGGGGCGCUACACAUGCAAGUCGAGCGGAAACGAGAAUAGCUUGCUAUUCGGCGUCGAGCGGCGGACGGGUGAGUAAUGCUUGGGAAUAUGCCUUUGAGUGGGGGUCAACCUUUGGAAACGACUGCUUUUACCGCAUAACGUCUACGGACCAAAGGGGGGGCUUCUUCGGAACCUCUCGCUCAUUGAUUAGCCCAAGUGAGAUUAGCUAGUUGGUAAGGUAAUGGCUUACCAAGGCGACGAUCUCUAGCUGGUUUGAGAGGAUGAUCAGCCACACUGGGACUGAGACACGGCCCAGACUCCUACGGGAGGCAGCAGUGGGGAAUAUUGCACAAUGGGCGAAAGCCUGAUGCAGCCAUGCCGCGUGUGUGAAGAAGGCCUUCGGGUUGUAAAGCACUUUCAGCGAGGAGGAAAGGGAUGUAGUUAAUAACUGCAUUCUGUGACGUUACUCGCAGAAGAAGCACCGGCUAACUUCGUGCCAGCAGCCGCGGUAAUACGAGGGGUGCAAGCGUUAAUCGGAAUUACUGGGCGUAAAGCGUGCGUAGGUGGUUUGUUAAGCAAGAUGUGAAAGCCCCGGGCUCAACCUGGGAACUGCAUUUUGAACUGGCAAACUAGAGUAUUGUAGAGGGUAGUGGAAUUUCCAGUGUAGCGGUGAAAUGCGUAGAGAUUGGAAGGAACAUCAGUGGCGAAGGCGGCUACCUGGACAAAUACUGACACUGAGGCACGAAAGCGUGGAGAGCAAACAGGAUUAGAUACCCUGGUAGUCCACGCCGUAAACGAUGUCAACUAGCCGUCUGUGACCUUGAGUCGUGGGUGGCGCAGCUAACGCACUAAGUUGACCGCCUGGAGAGUACGGCCGCAAGGUUAAAACUCAAAUGAAUUGACGGGGGCCCGCACAAGCGGUGGAGCAUGUGGUUUAAUUCGAUGCAACGCGAAGAACCUUACCAUCCCUUGACAUCCAGAGAAGAGACUAGAGAUAGACUUGUGCCUUCGGGAACUCUGUGACAGGUGCUGCAUGGCUGUCGUCAGCUCGUGUUGUGAAAAGGUGGGUUAAAGCCCCGCAACGAGCGCCACCCCCUAUCCUUAUUUGCCAGCGCGUAAUGGCGGAAACUCUAAAGGAGACCGCCGGUG
Molecule: ribosomal RNA, 1132 nt
Filed under: Colwellia sp. Hex3.1
Lineage: Bacteria; Pseudomonadati; Pseudomonadota; Gammaproteobacteria; Alteromonadales; Colwelliaceae
Description: bacterial SSU rRNA
Rfam family: Bacterial small subunit ribosomal RNA
Source: RNAcentral